Molecule: ribosomal RNA, 253 nt
Filed under: uncultured bacterium
Lineage: Bacteria
Description: partial 16S ribosomal RNA
Rfam family: Bacterial small subunit ribosomal RNA
Source: RNAcentral
UACGUAGGGUGCGAGCGUUGUCCGGAAUUAUUGGGCGUAAAGAGCUCGUAGGCGGUUUGUCGCGUCUGCUGUGAAAACGCGAGGCUCAACCUCGCGCCUGCAGUGGAUACGGGCAGACUAGGGGUAGGUAGGGGAGAAUGGAAUUCCCGGUGUAGCGGUGAAAUGCGCAGAUAUCGGGAGGAACACCGGUGGCGAAGGCGGUUCUCUGGGCCUUACCUGACGCUGAGGAGCGAAAGCGUGGGGAGCGAACAGG